AGCAGCCGCGGUAAUUCCAGCUCCAAUAGCGUAUAUUAAAGUUGUUGCAGUUAAAAAGCUCGUAGUUGAAUUUCGGGGUCAGCAAGUUGGUCGUGCCACCGGUAUGCACUGGCUUUGCUGAUUCCUCCUUCUUGUAGAACCGUAAUGCCAUUAAGUUGGUGUUGCGGGGAAACAGGACUGUUACUUUGAAAAAAUUAGAGUGUUUAAAGCAGGCAAUCGCUUGAAUACAUUAGCAUGGAAUAAUGAAAUAGGACGUUCGAUCCUAUUUUGUUGGUUUCUAGGAUUGACGUAAUGAUUAAUAGGGAUAGUUGGGGGCAUUAGUAUUCAAUUGUCAGAGGUGAAAUUCUUGGAUUUAUUGAAGACUAACUACUGCGAAAGCAUUUGCCAAGGAUGUUUUCAUUAAUCAAGAACGAAGGUUAGGGGAUCGAAGACGAUCAGAUACCGUCGUAGUCUUAACCAUAAACUAUGCCGACUAGGGAUCGGAUGAUGUUAAUUUUUUAAUGACUCA
Molecule: ribosomal RNA, 508 nt
Filed under: uncultured Glomus
Lineage: Eukaryota; Fungi; Glomeromycota; Glomeromycetes; Glomerales; Glomeraceae
Description: SSU rRNA
Rfam family: Eukaryotic small subunit ribosomal RNA
Source: RNAcentral